AAAAAGAACCCACAAAAGAUUUUAAGAAGUUGUGUGAAAAGAUUGAUGUCACUGAAAGCAAGAAAGGCAAUCUCAAGAAAACCACAGUCACCAGUAUCAGUGGCUUAGAGCUCAAAUCAGAAAGUGCUGGAAAAGCAGCCUUAAAAUUUAGCAACAUCAUUAUUAGUUAUCUUGGCUGGAGCAGUGUCAGAGGAAUGCUGGGGCAGAAGCCAGGACUUGAAGGAGGAUUUCGGAGUGGAGGGUAAGAACGUGGUUGUGGUGAGUAUGGACACCUGUUUCAAUAAACUUAACUGCAGCCAAAACAAGUCAGAUCAGGCAGCGAGUGGCAAGGUGCAUGGAAGCGAGGGAGGUAUUAUUUGAAGGAUAGAAGACACCGGGCUGGUUGAGCGCUGAUGGGAAAGAGCAGCAGCACGUGAAGCAGCAGGAGAGAGAAGGAACCUGCAGCAGAGCAGAGUCUAUCGGGCCACACAAGAGAUUAUUAGAGCUCGGAACUGGCCUUGUGAACGGGAAAUGUCUGACUGUGAAGGAGGGAAAGGAGGAAAUGAUGAGCGCCUCUGAAGGCUGGAAGAGGGACGUGAAGCAAGUCAGAAAGGGAGUCUGCGAGGGGACUUCUGGAAGAGUCUUCAUGCCACCAGGUCAUAACGGAACAUGGGGGAAAAGACAAGCCUCUUCCCUCUUCCAACCUGAGGACGUGAUGAACCUCUGCAGCCGUGUUGAGGACAGGAGGGAGUGACCGGCCCUAAGAACAAGCUGAGGACGGCAGCGCAGAAAAGUGGGAAGAAGCUGGGUCCUUCAUUACGUCUUUGAGCCAUUGAAUUAAUCAACUCCAGAAGCCCCUUUCUUCUAAAAUUGCAGUCAGAGAGGACCAAGUAGAGGAUCCAUGACCCUAGAAGAUCCUGAAGCCGCUAGAGAGGAGCCUCAGUCUGUGAAGGACUGUAUGGAUCAGGCCCAUUCGGAUCCCCAUUGGACUGUGAUAUCAAGGAGUCUGCAGGGCCACGUCUGCUCCCGGCCCACCAGGAGCCAGCCCCACAUUGCCUGUAUCAGUCAGCUGAGACUGCCAUAAACACCCCAACAGACUGGGCAGCUUAAACAACAGAAAUGUAUUUCUCACAGUUCUGGAGGCUGGAAGUCCAAGAGCAUGGUGUCACCAUGGUCAGUUUCUGGUGAGAGCCCUCUUCCUGGCUUGCAGAUGGUCCCCUUCUAUGUCCUUAUAUGGCCUUUCCUUGCUGCCUGUGGGGAGAGAUAGGAGGAGGAAAGA
Microcebus murinus (gray mouse lemur) is the source of this 1258-nucleotide non-coding RNA. The record is from RefSeq and is a predicted model, not a curated record. NCBI's taxonomy places the organism in Eukaryota, Metazoa, Chordata, Mammalia, Primates, Cheirogaleidae.